GCUCUUUAGUGUUGGACUGUACAAGUCUAGUCGGGUGAUUAGCCAGACUCUAACUUAUUGAACGGG
RNAcentral lists this small RNA (66 nucleotides) under Marinobacterium stanieri. RNAcentral's name for it is "Retron msr RNA". It matches the Rfam family "Retron msr RNA". From Rfam's summary of the family: Retron elements are found in a wide range of mainly Gram-negative bacteria. The retron encodes a reverse transcriptase that is responsible for the production of a small satellite DNA called msDNA (multi-copy single-stranded DNA). msDNA has both DNA (encoded by the retron msd gene) and RNA (encoded by the msr gene) components. The 5' end of msDNA is linked to an internal guanosine residue of the RNA strand by a 2'-5' linkage. Lineage: Bacteria; Pseudomonadati; Pseudomonadota; Gammaproteobacteria; Oceanospirillales; Oceanospirillaceae. The record is from Rfam by way of RNAcentral.